RNAcentral lists this ribosomal RNA (439 nucleotides) under uncultured bacterium. RNAcentral describes it as "partial 16S ribosomal RNA". It matches the Rfam family "Bacterial small subunit ribosomal RNA", at positions 339 to 795 of the family's 1533-position model. The record is from RNAcentral.
CUACGGGUGGCUGCAGUGAGGAAUAUUGCACAAUGGGGGGAACCCUGAUGCAGCAACGCCGCGUGGAGGAUGACGCAUUUCGGUGUGUAAACUCCUUUUGUAUGUCAAGAAAAUGACGGUAGCAUAUGAAUAAGCACCGGCUAACUCCGUGCCAGCAGCCGCGGUAAUACGGAGGGUGCAAACGUUACUCGGAAUCACUGGGCGUAAAGGACGCGUAGGCGGGUUGGAAAGUCAGGUGUGAAAUCCUACAGCUUAACUGUAGAACUGCACUUGAAACUUCUAAUCUAGAGUAUGGGAGGGGGAGAUGGAAUUAGUGGUGUAGGGGUAAAAUCCGUAGAUAUCACUAGGAAUACCUAAAGCGAAGGCGAUCUCCUGGAACAUUACUGACGCUAAGGCGUGAAAGCGUGGGGAGCAAACAGGAUUAGAUACCCGCGUAGUC